This 1593-nucleotide ribosomal RNA is filed under the name Triticum aestivum (bread wheat). Its description in RNAcentral is "partial small subunit ribosomal RNA". The record is from RNAcentral. Lineage: Eukaryota; Viridiplantae; Streptophyta; Magnoliopsida; Poales; Poaceae.
AUGGAGAGGCGGAGGUUGGAGCUUUCAGGGAGGGCACGAGGAGAGAGUGACAUGUGGGCCCCACCUUAUCCCGAUUCUCUAGUUCGUGCUGUACGCCCGCACCACCUCCUUGCGAAGUUGCGGCGACACAUUUUUUGGAUUGAUCUUGAUCAGCUCUGCAGAAUUUUGCCUGCGUGCACCGUCGGUUCGGCCAACCAACCUGGGCCUGCCACGUCUAUUCGCGCCCCCUCCGGGGUCGGAAGGUCAAAAAGCGGCGAAGGGUUCCAACUUGCGCCGGCAGGGUGGGCCGGUGGGGCCGUCAGCCCCACGCGGCGCCAACACGUAGAGAUCCGGCGUGGCGCGUGCGUGCGUCUCCAUCUCUGCCCCUCAGCUCGGGCCGACAAAAAGGCAACGCGGAGUGGGAGGAGCAGGAGAGCUCGAGGGAAGAAGAAGAAGAGGAGGAGGAAGAAGGCCCCCUCAAACCCAAAAGCGUCGCCCAGCUUCCGUCGGCCGGAGGGAGGUUUCAAUUGCGACGUCAAUUCACAACAAAUCCAGCAUAAGCCAAUGUCUGACAACAGUAUUCAGCGAGCAUUGCUAUCUGAUAACCCCGAUGCCAAUGUGCUCCAAAGAAAGCCGUCGCAAGGAGCCAAGCGGUUCCGGAGAUGCAGGUCGGCUCCCAGAUCAGAGACCGAUGAAAAACCACAAGAAAAUGGCUUGUCGCUUCCAGCCAAGGAGUUGUUCAGCGUGGUGCGGCCGAGCUUCAGACUAGUAGGGUUCCUCCUAUUUCUCUACCUGCUAGCGGGCGUCGUCAUCUUUUACCUUGUCAUGGAUCAGUUAUCUGGCAAGAGAACCAACAGAGUGCUUGACGCACUGUACUUCUGCAUUGUCACGAUGACAUCGGUUGGCUAUGGAGACCUUGUUCCUAACACAGACACGACGAAGCUGCUCGCCUGUGUUUUCGUCUUCACGGGCAUGGCGAUCAUUGCUCUCUUCGUGAGCAAGUCAGCAGAUUACCUCGUCGAGAAGCAGGAGGUGUUGUUCUUCAAGGCACUGCACAUGAAUAUGAAGUGUGGCGAGGCCAAAAUGCUCAGGCAAAUUGAGACAAACAAGACAAAGUACAAAUUCUACACAGCCGCUCUGCUUCUUGUGACGGCCAUUGUUGUGGGGACUGUUUUUCUCUGGAAGGUUGAGAAGUUGAGCCUUGUUGACUCCUUUUAUUGUGUCUGUGCCACAAUCACUACCCUGGGUUAUGGGGAUAAAAGCUUCUCGUCCCAAUUGGGGCGCACUUUCGCGGUAUUUUGGAUAAUUACGAGCACCAUAAUUCUGGCGCUGUUCUUCAUGUACCUUGCUGAGAUCUACACCGAGCGGCGGCAGAAAAUGCUGGCCAAAUGGGUUCUCACACGGAGAGUAACAACCAUGGAUCUUGAAGCGGCUGAUCUGGAUAGUGAUCGAAAAGUGGGUGCUGCUGAAUUUGUCGUGUACAAGCUCAAAGAACUGGGGAAGAUCAGCCAAGAGGACAUAUCUUCUUUUCUAGAGGAGUUUGACAAACUCGACGUUGACCAGUCCGGCACGCUCUCCACAUAUGACCUUACUCAGGCACAAUCCGGUCAGUGA